Micropterus salmoides (largemouth bass) is the source of this 732-nucleotide long non-coding RNA. RefSeq lists it as uncharacterized. The transcript is spliced from 3 exons. NCBI's taxonomy places the organism in Eukaryota, Metazoa, Chordata, Actinopteri, Centrarchiformes, Centrarchidae. The record is from RefSeq and is a predicted model, not a curated record.
GUGUAAAGUGUUUCAGACCGCGUGAAGACUUUUCCUAAAAGGCCUGCCAGCUUUCACAGGAAGAGCAGAACCCAGAGAACCUGUCGCUCAGCGGGGUUCACUUUCCCCAACUCUUCAAUCAGAAGCUGUUUUCAGCGUCGCAGCCCAGAGACUAACAACCUUUCCGAUCCACAGAUACACCGAACGUUAUUGCAGUACUAGUAUUUGUGACAGAACUGCAGCUGUUGGACUAACCUGUCAGUGUUUCCUGCUUCAGGCCAGCAGAGAUGUUUCCUGACAGAAGAGCGAGGACUCCUCCCUGCUCCUCUGGUCCAGAGACUCUGGUGGAGGGACAUCCUCAGUUCCCUGUGCAGCUGCUCAGGCCUUUCUAACAUGCUCACCUAUAAAGAGACCUGGACCUGGACCUGGAGGAGGGCUGGAUGCCACCUGUGACCCUGCAGAUCCCAGCUUUGACACAUGCGUCUCCUUCGUCCUGGUGUGAAGAGGGACAGUCCCAGGACCAGCAGCAGCAACAGUGAGUCGGCUGUGUGCAGGCAGAGUCCUGGAGACGCCUGGAGAAGCCCGGCAGCAUCAGGACAGACUCUGCGUCCUCAGGAAGACGCUUCAGGAGACCCUGAGAGGACACUGUGUGGACAGUUUAUAUCAAAGUCUUGUCUUUGCUGCUCUGGGCCUCAGAUUUACCAGGUUUAUAUUUCUGUUUCAGCUGCUCUGAAUAAAGUGCUUUAUUUUGAA